This 1287-nucleotide long non-coding RNA is filed under the name Canis lupus familiaris (dog). Its description in RNAcentral is "lncRNA (ENSCAFG00040025727.1)". Lineage: Eukaryota; Metazoa; Chordata; Mammalia; Carnivora; Canidae. The record is from RNAcentral.
GACUCCCAGAACAUUAGAGCCCAAACCCUAUGCCUCUUCCCUUUCUCAAGUCUGAGAGGCGGCUUUAUUAAUAAAAGAAAAAACUUAAUAAUCGGCCCUGGGGUUUUCCGAGGGCCGCUCAAGAAAACCAGGAAGUACCUCCUCCCGCAGAGACGGCUCACUCCCAGCCCACAGCCCACAGCCCACAGCCCACAGCCCACCGCCCGGGGCUCCCGGCCGGCCGGGCGGACGGACCCACUCGGAAGGCUCGGCUCGCAGCCGGGAAGUCGCCAGCAGCCCCGGGGUCUUCUCGGGGCGGCCUCGGUGGCCCACGGCCCCGGAACCCCGGGGCGGGGAGGGGGGUCGCCACGGACCCGCUCAGUACCUGUUGAAACCCAGGGACGAAAGGUCCUCUCCGCAGAGAGUAUCUGGGAAGAGGGCCCAAGGCGGGCACGCAGCCCGCAGCACAACAGGGCCUCGGAGGAUCCCCGCAACCCCGGGCCCGCAGGGGUCGAAGGGCCGCAGCUUCCAGCAACCUCCGCCCCGGGCGCAGACCCGCCCCCAGCGUCACGUGAGAGAAAAGAAAUACCGGUAACAGAGGGGAAAGGAAGUAUUGUCCAAAGUGUGCGGGGAGGAGCGGGAGCCGCCAGCCGCGGCUCGGGGUGCGGAGGGAGGGAGGGACUGGGACGUGGGGCCGCUCGUUACCGGGGGCGCCGGGGCUCUCCGCUUCCGCCGCCGCCUCGAAGCUCUCGCUCUUCCGCCCGCGCCGCUGGGGCGCGCGCCAGGCCUCGACUCCGCCCCGCCCCGCCCCUCGCCGCGCCGCGGGGCCUUCUGGGGGUUGUAGUCCGCCCACGGCCCGCGCUGCGCGGGCUGCUCCGGGUCACGUGCGGGAAGGGCUGGCACCAACCGCGAGGGUGGGAAGGCGUUUGCGCUUCUGGCUGCCGACCCUACCCCCUUCCUCUCGUUCGUACACUGAGUCGGACCCGCUCACGCCUCGCUCAGUCACACCAUCCCUCCUUUUCCCUUGACAGCCAAGUUUUUUUUGAGAAAGGCAAUCUGAUUCGCCUCCAAUUCCUCCUGGGUGCUCUGCGGCGGGUUCUGCCCCCCUCAGGAAAUGCCCUUGUUGCCAAUCAUUACAUCCUCGUUGCCAAACUCACGGCAGGAAUUUUCAGGUCUUCUAACUUCACCUUUAGCCACCAUUUGAGGCUGCUGGACAUUCUUGAUCACUUCCUGUCUAUGUUACUACCUGGAUUUUCCUUCCUCUCAGGCCAUCCUCCUCAGUGUCUCCUUCAAGGAUUCUUUUUCUAA